AUCAACGCUGGCGGCGCGCUUAACACAUGCAAGUCGCACGAGAAAAGGGCAACCUGAGUAAAGUGGCGCACGGGUGAGUAACACGUGGAUGAUCCACCUCUUUGUGGGGAAUAGCUCUGGGAAACCGGAGCUAAUACCGCAUAAGCUCGAGAGAGGAAAGCAGUAAUGCGCAGAGAGAGGAGUCCGCGGCCGAUUAGCUAGUUGGCGGGGUAAAGGCCCACCAAGGCUUCGAUCGGUAGCCGGCCUGAGAGGGCACACGGCCACACUGGCACUGAAACACGGGCCAGACUCCUACGGGAGGCAGCAGUGGGGAAUCUUGCACAAUGGGGGAAACCCUGAUGCAGCGACGCCGCGUGAGUGAUGAAGUCCUUCGGGAUGUAAAGCUCUUUCGACAGGAACGAUAAUGACGGUACCUGGAGAAGAAGCUGCGGCUAACUACGUGCCAGCAGCCGGGUAAUU
This 459-nucleotide ribosomal RNA is filed under the name uncultured bacterium. RNAcentral describes it as "bacterial SSU rRNA". It matches the Rfam family "Bacterial small subunit ribosomal RNA", at positions 32 to 525 of the family's 1533-position model. The record is from RNAcentral.